CCUACGGGAGGCAGCAGUAGGGAAUAUUGCUCAAUGGGGGAAACCCUGAAGCAGCAACGCCGCGUGGAGGAUGAAGGUUUUCGGAUUGUAAACUCCUUUUGUCAGAGAAGAAAAUGACGGUAUCUAACGAAUAAGCACCGGCUAACUCCGUGCCAGCAGCCGCGGUAAUACGGAGGGUGCAAGCGUUACUCGGAAUCACUGGGCGUAAAGAGCGCGUAGGCGGGAUAGCAAGUCAGAUGUGAAAUCCUAGGGCUUAACCAUAGAACUGCAUUUGAAACUGUUAUUCUAGAGUAUGGGAGAGGUAGGUGGAAUUCUGGGUGUAGGGGUGAAAUCCGUAGAGAUCAAGAGGAAUACUCAUUGCGAAGGCGACCUGCUAGAACAUAACUGACGCUGAUGCGCGAAAGCGUGGGGAGCAAACAGGAUUAGAUACCCUUGUAGUC
RNAcentral lists this ribosomal RNA (440 nucleotides) under uncultured bacterium. RNAcentral's name for it is "partial 16S ribosomal RNA". It matches the Rfam family "Bacterial small subunit ribosomal RNA", at positions 338 to 795 of the family's 1533-position model. The record is from RNAcentral.